Molecule: transfer RNA, 83 nt
Filed under: Thermosinus carboxydivorans Nor1
Lineage: Bacteria; Bacillati; Bacillota; Negativicutes; Selenomonadales; Sporomusaceae
Rfam family: tRNA
About the family: Transfer RNA (tRNA) molecules are approximately 80 nucleotides in length.
Source: Rfam by way of RNAcentral
GGAGGGGUUCCCGAGUGGCCAAAGGGAGCAGACUGUAAAUCUGCCGGCGUUCGCCUUCGUUGGUUCGAAUCCAACCCCCUCCA